This 83-nucleotide transfer RNA is filed under the name Phycisphaerales bacterium. Its description in RNAcentral is "tRNA-Tyr". It matches the Rfam family "tRNA". Rfam says of the family: Transfer RNA (tRNA) molecules are approximately 80 nucleotides in length. Their secondary structure includes four short double-helical elements and three loops (D, anti-codon, and T loops). Further hydrogen bonds mediate the characteristic L-shaped molecular structure. tRNAs have two regions of fundamental functional importance: the anti-codon, which is responsible for specific mRNA codon recognition, and the 3' end, to which the tRNAs corresponding amino acid is attached (by aminoacyl-tRNA synthetases). tRNAs cope with the degeneracy of the genetic code in two manners: having more than one tRNA (with a specific anti-codon) for a particular amino acid; and 'wobble' base-pairing, i.e. permitting non-standard base-pairing at the 3rd anti-codon position. Lineage: Bacteria; Pseudomonadati; Planctomycetota; Phycisphaerae; Phycisphaerales. The record is from RNAcentral.
GGGCGUGUGACCGAGUGGCCAAUGGUGACGGGCUGUAAACCCGUUGGCGAAAGCCUACGGUGGUUCGAAUCCACCCGCGCCCA